Molecule: ribosomal RNA, 460 nt
Filed under: uncultured bacterium
Lineage: Bacteria
Description: partial 16S ribosomal RNA
Rfam family: Bacterial small subunit ribosomal RNA
Source: RNAcentral
CCUACGGGAGGCAGCAGUGAGGAAUAUUGGUCAAUGGGCGGAAGCCUGAACCAGCCAAGUAGCGUGCAGGAUGACGGCCCUACGGGUUGUAAACUGCUUUUAUACGGGAAUAACGCGCCUUACGUGUAGGGCUUUGCAUGUACCGUAUGAAUAAGGACCGGCUAAUUCCGUGCCAGCAGCCGCGGUAAUACGGAAGGUCCGGGCGUUUUCCGGAUUUAUUGGGGUUAAAGGGAGCGUAGGCGGCAUGUCAAGCGUGCUGUGAAAGGUCCGGGCUCAACCCGGGCCUUGCAGCGCGAACUGGCGUGCUUGAGUCCGCGGAAGGCAGGCGGAAGUCGUCGUGUAGCGGUGAAAUGCUUAGAUAUGACGAGGAACCCCAGUUGCGAAGGCAGCUUGCUGCAGCGGAACUGACGCUGAUGCUCGAAAGCGCGGGUAUCGAACAGGAUUAGAUACCCGGGUAGUC